Molecule: ribosomal RNA, 492 nt
Filed under: uncultured Pseudomonas sp.
Lineage: Bacteria; Pseudomonadati; Pseudomonadota; Gammaproteobacteria; Pseudomonadales; Pseudomonadaceae
Description: bacterial SSU rRNA
Rfam family: Bacterial small subunit ribosomal RNA
Source: RNAcentral
GCUCAGAACUUAAAGGAAUUGACGGGGCCCGCACAAGCGGUGGAGCAUGUGGUUAAUUCGAAGCAACGCGAAGAACCUUACCAGGCCUUGACAUGCAGAGAACUUUCCAGAGAUGGAUUGGUGCCUUCGGGAACUCUGACACAGGUGCUGCAUGGCUGUCGUCAGCUCGUGUCGUGAGGAUCGUUGGGUUAAGUCCCGUAACGAGCGCAACCCUUGUCCUUAGUUACCAGCACGUUAUGGUGGGCACUCUAAGGAGACUGCCGGUGACAAACCGGAGGAAGGUGGGGAUGACGUCAAGUCAUCCAUGGCCCUUACGGCCUGGGCUACACACGUGCUACAAUGGUCGGUACAAAGGGUUGCCAAGCCGCGAGGUGGAGCUAAUCCCAUAAAACCGAUCGUAGUCCGGAUCGCAGUCUGCAACUCGACUGCGUGAAGUCGGAAUCGCUAGUAAUCGUGAAUCAGAAUGUCACGGUGAAUACGUUCCCGGGCCUU